AUGGAGGCUAUUUGAGUGUGAAAAACCAUAGGCCUACAGUUAGCCAUUGUUAGCAACUAGCUAGCGUUACCUUAAUAACAUCUAUCAACCAAGGCCUGUCUCCAACGCGAAUUUAACACUGCCUGUGUCAAUAGAGAUGGAGAAUGGGAAGCCUGAUCUGUUGCUAGUCAAAGAGGAGAUAAGAGGACGGACCAGCGAACAUUGAUCUGCUGAAGAUGGAAGAGCAAGGUGGUUGGCUGGAGGCUAACAGAGGAGAGUGCGUAUCCAUCUUGGAUUCCAAGACCCAGAUGGGUGCAGCCAAGGGCCUAGGGGACAACAUCACAGAUCAGGCCAGGACCAGAGGCGACAUAGUGGAGGUCAAUGGAUAGGACAGCGUCUUCAAAACUGGUCUGGGGACAACACUUUUCACCACAACCAGAAACUGACAGUUUAACACAAAACAACAACCUUCGUCUCCAUGACAACAUACUGGCUGAGACUAGGGCGAGGCGUAGAUUUUGUCUUCUUCAUUCUUGAAUCAACACAUAUGGACUCUUUUUUUUUUUACUUCAAUGGCUCCAUAUUGUUAGGUACUUGAAUCCCAGUUUUAGAGAUGGGCUUGACUGUGGUUAACAUUUUAUAAUUAUCAUGUUUCUGUGAGUACAGAACAUUGUUUUUUAAUAUAAACCUUUAUGCAUUUCUGUACAAUUUGUGU
Molecule: long non-coding RNA, 694 nt
Organism: Oncorhynchus keta (chum salmon)
Lineage: Eukaryota; Metazoa; Chordata; Actinopteri; Salmoniformes; Salmonidae
Exons: 3
Source: RefSeq, a predicted model, not a curated record